This 253-nucleotide ribosomal RNA is filed under the name uncultured bacterium. RNAcentral describes it as "partial 16S ribosomal RNA". It matches the Rfam family "Bacterial small subunit ribosomal RNA", at positions 524 to 776 of the family's 1533-position model. The record is from RNAcentral.
UACGAAGGGGGCGAGCGUUGUUCGGAAUUACUGGGCGUAAAGGGCGCGCAGGCGGCUCUGAAAGUCAGAUGUGAAAGCCCCGGGCUUAACCUGGGAACUGCAUUUGAUACUCUAGAGCUUGAGUACGGGAGAGGAGAGUGGAAUUCCCAGUGUAGAGGUGAAAUUCGUAGAUAUUGGGAAGAACACCGGUGGCGAAGGCGGCUCUCUGGGCCGUAACUGACGCUGAGGCGCGAAAGCGUGGGGAGCAAACAGG